RNAcentral lists this long non-coding RNA (275 nucleotides) under Eutrema salsugineum. RNAcentral describes it as "long non-coding RNA (ESAL_LNC000816)". The record is from RNAcentral. Lineage: Eukaryota; Viridiplantae; Streptophyta; Magnoliopsida; Brassicales; Brassicaceae.
GAAGAGAUGCAAUGGAAUAGUGCUUCACAGAAGUAGAGGGUAAGCGUGUUUUAGGGGAAGGCUUCUUGAAGGGUCUUUCGGGAGAGUUUAAUGGCAUAACGGUGACCUUCUCAGCCAAAGGAGGAGGUGGUGGUGGUGGAGGAGGAGGAGGCGGUGGAGGCAUCAACAUUGAAAAGUCAAUAUCUUGACUUUCUUGUCGUGAUAUAGGCGGUGCAGGUCUCUGCAACCUACCAAGGUCAUGUAACACCUUUGGUUCCUCUCCAGCUUUCGUGAAA